UGAGUAACACGUAGGCAAUCUACCUUUUGCUGGGGUAUAGGCAGAAGAAAUUUUGAUUAAUUCCCCAUAAUAUAAAGUUUCUGCAUGGAACCUUUAUUAAAGCUGAUGUGGCAAGAGAUGAGCCUGCGUCUGAUAGUUAGUUGGUGAGGUAACUGCUCUACCAAGACUCUGAUCAGUAGGGGACCUUAGAGGGCGAACCUCCACACUGGAACUGAGACACGGUCCAGACUUCUACGGAAGGCAGCAGUGAGGAAUAUUGGUCAAUGGAGGAAACUCUGAACCAGCUACGCCGCGUGCAGGAUGAAAGUCUUUUAGGUUGUAAACUGCUUUUGUAUAGAAAUAAAAUUUACUACGAGUUAGUAAACUGAAGGUACUAUACGAAUAAGUGUCGGCUAAUUCCGUGCCAGCAGCCGCGGUAAUACGGAAGACACAAGCGUUAUCCGGAUUUAUUGGGUUUAAAGGGUGUGUAGGCGGUUUAUUAAGUCAGUAGUGAAAGCUUACAGCUUAACUGUAAAAUUGCUAUUGAUACUGGCAAACUAGAGUAAGAUUGGAGUAUCUGGAAUGUAUGGUGUAGCGGUGAAAUGCAUAGAUAUCAUACAGAACACCAAUAGCGAAGGCAGGAUACUAAAUCUUUAUUGACGCUGAGGCACGAAAGCGUGGGGAGCAAACAGGAUUAGAUACCCUGGUAGUCCACGCCCUAAACGAUGAUCACUAGCUAUUGGAAAAACUAUAUUCAGUGGCUAAGCGAAAGUGAAAGUGAUCCACCUGGGGAAUAUAAUCGCAAGAUUGAAACUCAAAGGAAUUGACGGGGUUCCGCACAAGCGGUGGAGCAUGUGGUUUAAUUCGAUGAUACGCGAGGAACCUUACCAAGGCUUAAAUGUAUUACGAAUAAGCUGGAAACAGUUUAGUCUAUACUGACGGAAUACAAGGUGCUGCAUGGUUGUCUUCAGUUCGUGCUGUGAAGUGUUUGGUUAAGUCCUAUAACGAGCGCAACCCCUAUUGUUAGUUGCCAUCGGGUAAUGCUGGGAACUCUAACAAAACUGCCGGUGUAAAUCGUGAGGAAGGUGGGGAUAAUGUCAAAUCAUCAUGGCCUUUAUGCCUUGGGCUACACACGUGCUACAAUGGCUGGCACAAUGGGCAGCCACUGGGUGACCAGGAGCUAAUCUCUAAAGCCAGUCUAAGUUCAGAUUGGAGUCUGAAAUUCGACUCUAUGAAGCUGGAAUCGCUAGUAAUCGCGCAUCAGCAAUGGCG
RNAcentral lists this ribosomal RNA (1251 nucleotides) under Flavobacteriales endosymbiont of Aonidomytilus espinosai D263. RNAcentral describes it as "bacterial SSU rRNA". It matches the Rfam family "Bacterial small subunit ribosomal RNA", at positions 107 to 1359 of the family's 1533-position model. Lineage: Bacteria; Pseudomonadati; Bacteroidota; Flavobacteriia; Flavobacteriales. The record is from RNAcentral.